This 291-nucleotide long non-coding RNA is filed under the name Vicia faba (fava bean). The record is from RNAcentral. Lineage: Eukaryota; Viridiplantae; Streptophyta; Magnoliopsida; Fabales; Fabaceae.
AUGGCCUCCACUGCUGCCAGAUUAAUAUUCCGAUCAUCUUCUUCAGCCAGAUCAGCCUUUCGCAUUGCAUCGGAAGCAAAACCAGCUCGUUCCUCAUUCCGCACCACCUCCAGCAAACCCGUCUCGCCAUCACAAUCCACAUUCAGGUCCCCUGUUGAAUUGAGUUUUUGCGUUGAAUCAAUGAUGCCUUACCACACUGUCACUGCUUCUGCGCUCAUGAACUCCAUGCUUUCCAUUUCCAGCCGCAACUACGCUUGGCUUUCAGAAGGUAUUAUCAAUCAAACUGUUUGA